Molecule: transfer RNA, 72 nt
Filed under: Pangasianodon hypophthalmus (striped catfish)
Lineage: Eukaryota; Metazoa; Chordata; Actinopteri; Siluriformes; Pangasiidae
Rfam family: tRNA
About the family: Transfer RNA (tRNA) molecules are approximately 80 nucleotides in length. Their secondary structure includes four short double-helical elements and three loops (D, anti-codon, and T loops).
Source: Rfam by way of RNAcentral
UCCCUGAAGAACUAGUGGUUAGGCCACAGCACUCUCACUGCUGUUGCCUGGGUUCGAUUCCCAGCCAGGGAA